CUGGCUCACAGAGUUUUUUGUUUUACCCCUCAGAGCCUGGCUCACGGUGCGUUUGUUUCCCCCCAGGCUGAGGGAGCUGCGGGCUGGGCUGUGCAGUGACAGGAAUGGCUGCCUCCAGGUGACACGUACGGAGUUUGGGGGGACAAAACUCCCUAGUGUUGCUUGUUUUGCUGUUUUGAAAGUGCGAAAUGGUAGAGACUGGAGCUUAUCACAUCAGUGUCGGGCUGGACGCUGCCUUCAUCAGAGCUCGGAUCUGCUCUGAAGUCCUGGAGUGGAAUCCUGUCCAGCGGGAGUGCUGCGGUUCGAUUAGGGAACACCCUAGCAAGUGAGCCCUGCCCAUGGAUUGCCACCCCCAGUGCCAGGAGGGAAACUUCAGCUGACUUCUGCCUUUAAGAAGAAUUAUUCUUUGAGGAGCUCAGGGACAUUUCCAUGUCAACUGCUCUUGUACUUAUGGGGGAAUUCGACUUGCCAGAAAUCAAUUGGGAACACCACACAGAGAUGGUACAACGUGGGCCAGAAGAUUCAUAAAACGCCUGGGCGACAACUUUAUGGAAUAAGUCCUAAGGGAGCUGACUCAGAAAGAUGUCCUUGAUCUGCAGCUGGUCAGCAGAGGGGAUCUUGUGAGUGAAGAGGACAAUGGGACUGUCUUGGCUGCAGCAACCAUGGAGCCAUUGAGUUUAAAAUCUUGGAUGACAGAAGCAAAAGUGCCAGCAAAACCUCAACUCCAGCCAUGAAGAGAGCAGACCCCAGGCUGCUCAGGGAAUUGGAGGAAGUUUGUGGCUCUUUGAGGGAAGAAGUAUCUUCAAAGGCUUUGGAGCUGGAGGUCUGUGUCUGCAAGAACAAGCCCUGACUGAUGAAACAUGAAACAACCCCAGAACCUUAUCUCUGUUCAAAUAACAUUAAAACAAUAAUAAAAGGACUUCUUGUUCAACAAAUUACAUUGGAAGAGGAAGGAAAAACAGCUCCCACUGAUGAAUGAGAGAAGGUGGGAACACAGACCUGAAGGGAGAUGGAGUGUACUCUCAGACAGAGUCCCUGGCUGGCAGACCCCUGUGACUACUGGCUGCAGCAUUUCUCUCGAGCUUUCCAUUUCCUGUGGAGACAAACAGAGGUUUUCACCCAAGGUGGUGUUCCAGUCAACUGGAGAGAAAGACUGCAGGAACAGACUGGACGCUCAGGUGAUCCCCAAAAUUAUAGGAUUAAUCUUCACUCAUGAUGGCUGUGUACACGCAGUGCUCAGAAAAUGUUCCUGCUUCUUCCUUGCAGCACAUUUCUGGACAGGAAAAGGACAAAAGGAAAAAGUUUUAUGGAGGAACGUGUGACUGAACAAAUUGACAGCCCAGGAAAGCAGCAAUAAGAUGGGAGUAGAUGUGGAUCUCAAGGAAAGACAGAAUAUUGUGAGUAGAUUAUUAUGGAGACUAUGACAAAUUUCUCAGCAAGUCAGUAGACAUUUGUAAGUUGUUAACUAGUGAUUAAAUAAUUAUUUUA
Prinia subflava (tawny-flanked prinia) is the source of this 1488-nucleotide long non-coding RNA. RefSeq lists it as uncharacterized. The transcript has 7 exons. NCBI's taxonomy places the organism in Eukaryota, Metazoa, Chordata, Aves, Passeriformes, Cisticolidae. The record is from RefSeq and is a predicted model, not a curated record.